Long non-coding RNA from Parambassis ranga (Indian glassy fish), 536 nucleotides. Lineage: Eukaryota; Metazoa; Chordata; Actinopteri; Ambassidae. The record is from Ensembl.
AGCUGCAGGCUGACGCUGAUACCAAAUGACGCGCUUUGGCAGCGUUGGUUUUAUUGUAUGCUACAGUUAAGUUUCGAUUUCCCGUCAGUAGGCGGUAAUCUCCCAGGAGCUGUGCGUACAGCUUGUUGAUAAAGAUUGUCAGUCAUCCAGGAAAACUCUUCAGGUUGAGGCGCGUUGAUCUCUGCGUACAGAGAACAUCAGAACAUCUGUUCAGCUUCAGGUGGCCUGUGGUAAAGGGGACGAUGAGGGACAGUGACUCCAUGCCAGUUUGUCGCUGUUUUUUAUAUUCCCUGUGUUAUCAGCUACCUAGUAAUCUUCAUAAGUGAAAGUGUAUACAGCACAGAGUUGUCAUUCCUCAGAAUUACAUGUAAAAACAAACAUCCACAAUCCCUUAAAAACAUGUAUUCAUUAAAUCUAAACAUGUAUUCAUCUGAUCUAAACAUGUAUUCAUCUAAUCUAAACAUGUAUUCAUCUAAUCUAAACAUCUAAUCUAAACAUGUAUUCAUCUGAUCUAAACAUGUAUUCAUCUAAUCUAA